This 126-nucleotide small nuclear RNA is filed under the name Haemaphysalis longicornis (longhorned tick). RNAcentral's name for it is "U5 spliceosomal RNA". It matches the Rfam family "U5 spliceosomal RNA". Rfam says of the family: U5 RNA is a component of both types of known spliceosome. The precise function of this molecule is unknown, though it is known that the 5' loop is required for splice site selection and p220 binding, and that both the 3' stem-loop and the Sm site are important for Sm protein binding and cap methylation. Lineage: Eukaryota; Metazoa; Arthropoda; Arachnida; Ixodida; Ixodidae. The record is from Rfam by way of RNAcentral.
UCGCUCAGGUCUCUCCUCAAAUCCACGCAAUAAUCUUUCGCCUUUUACUAAAGAUUACCGUGGGGAGGGACAUUCCAAUGAGCCUAUAGGCCAAUUUUUGGGAGGCCUUGCCCGCUUGGGCGAGGC